Molecule: ribosomal RNA, 468 nt
Filed under: uncultured bacterium
Lineage: Bacteria
Description: partial 16S ribosomal RNA
Rfam family: Bacterial small subunit ribosomal RNA
Source: RNAcentral
GACGAACGCUGGCGGCGUGCUUAACACAUGCAAGUCGAACGGAAAGGCACUGCUUUUGUGGGGUGCUCGAGUGGCGAACGGGUGAGUAACACGUGUGUAACCUGCCCUUGAUUUUGGGAUAAGUUCAGGAAACUGGGGCUAAUACAGGAUAGGAGCUGCCGCUGCAUGGUGGGGGUUGGAAAGUUUCGGCGGGUGGGGAUGGACGCGCGGCUUAUGAGCUUGUUGGUGGGGGAGUGGCUUACCAAGGCAUUGGCCGGUAGCCGGCCGUGGAGGGUGGCCGGCGUCAUUACGACUAAGGGACGGCCCAGUCUCCAAUGGUGGGCAACAGGGGGAAGCAUGGUCCAAUGGGCGGGAGCCUGUGGCAGCAGCGCUGCGUGCGUAAAGACGGCUUGUGGGUAGUAAACCGCUUCAGCCUGUGACGAAGCGGGUGUGACGGUAAUGGGUAAAGAAGCACCGGCUAACUACGUG